AUGCACGCUGGCGGCGUGCCUCAUCCAUGCAAGUCGAGCGCACGGACGAGAAGCUUGCUUCUCUGAUGUUAGCGGCGGACGGGUGAGUAACACGUGGAUAACCUACCUAUAAGACUGGGAUAACUUCGGGAAACCGUAGCUAAUACCGGAUAAUAUUUUGAACCGCAUGGUUCAAAAGUGAAAGACGGUCUUGCUGUCACUUAUAGAUGGAUCCGCGCUGCAUUAGCUAGUUGGUAAGGUAACGGCUUACCAAGGCAACGAUGCAUAGCCGACCUGAGAGGGUGAUCGGCCACACUGGAACUGAGACACGGUCCAGACUCCUACGGGAGGCAGCAGUAGGGAAUCUUCCGCAAUGGGCGAAAGCCUGACGGAGCAACGCCGCGUGAGUGAUGAAGGUCUUCGGAUCGUAAAACUCUGUUAUUAGGGAAGAACAUAUGUGUAAGUAACUGUGCACAUCUUGACGGUACCUAAUCAGAAAGCCACGGCUAACUACGUG
Molecule: ribosomal RNA, 496 nt
Filed under: uncultured bacterium
Lineage: Bacteria
Description: partial 16S ribosomal RNA
Rfam family: Bacterial small subunit ribosomal RNA
Source: RNAcentral